CCUACGGGAGGCAGCAGUGGGGAAUAUUGGGCAAUGGGCGAAAGCCUGACCCAGCAACGCCGCGUGAAGGAAGAAGGCUUUCGGGUUGUAAACUUCUUUUGACAGGGAAGAGCAGAAGACGGUACCUGUCGAAUAAUCCACGGCUAACUACGUGCAAGCAGCCGCGGUAAUACGGAGGUGGCAAGCGUUGUCCGGAUUUACUGGGUGUAAAGGGCGUGUAGCCGGGCUGACAAGUCAGAUGUGAAAUACGGGGGCUCAACCCCCGAACUGCAGUUGAAACUGUUGGUCUUGAGUAUCGGAGAGGCAGGCGGAAUUCGUGGUGUAGCGGUGAAAUGCGUAGAUAUUAGGAGGAACACCAGUGGCGAAGGCGGCCUGCUGGACGACAACUGACAUUGAUGCUCGAAAGUGUGGGUAUCAAACAGGAUUAGAUACCCCAGUAGUC
Molecule: ribosomal RNA, 442 nt
Filed under: uncultured bacterium
Lineage: Bacteria
Description: partial 16S ribosomal RNA
Rfam family: Bacterial small subunit ribosomal RNA
Source: RNAcentral